UAUCGGAAGAGACUUGCCCCGUCCGACAC
Molecule: small RNA, 29 nt
Filed under: Bombyx mori (domestic silkworm)
Lineage: Eukaryota; Metazoa; Arthropoda; Insecta; Lepidoptera; Bombycidae
Description: ovarian small RNA-3137
Source: RNAcentral